RNAcentral lists this long non-coding RNA (10004 nucleotides) under Homo sapiens (human). RNAcentral describes it as "HSALNT0316246". The record is from RNAcentral. Lineage: Eukaryota; Metazoa; Chordata; Mammalia; Primates; Hominidae.
CUUCUUGCCUGCUGCCACAAAGACGUGUCUUGCUUCCCCUUCGCCAUCUGCCUUGAUUGUGAGGCCUCCCCAGCCACGUGGAACAACUUUGCUGCUCUAUUGCCAAACUACUCAUAUCCCCCUGUUACUGUGAAACUUGGUGAAAUUCCUCAGGGAUUUUGAGACAUCAAAGCAAUCUCUCUAGUUCUGGAAAGACUGAAUUUGCAGCAUCUGCUGAAAUGAGGACCCUGUUUAUUCAACAACUCCUAAACUGAGCUUGUUCAACCUAUGGCCCGUGGGCUGCAUAUGGCCCCACGACAGCUCUGAAUGUGGGCCAAUGCAAAUUCGACAAUUUGUGUUUAUCCAGUGUGUCUCAGAAAAGCUAAAUGAUUGGACACCCCUGCAACAGUACAUGCCUGGAAAAGACAUAAGAAGCAGACACAAUAGUGGUAAAAAAGCAUUACACAAGAUAAAAGGUAAGUCUGAGGCCACAGCUUACAAGGUGGCCUACACAGGAAGAUGCAAUAAAAACAGUUUCUCGGUUAUCUCCUAUCUUUGUGAAGCUACUCCUAUUCAUGCUUUCUUCCCACUUCUUUUCUUCCUUCUUCUUCUUGUUCUUUCUUCUUCCUCUUCCUCUUCUUCUUCUUCUCUUCUUGUUCUUCUUCUUCUUCCUCUUCCUCUUGCUCCUUCUCCUCCUCCUCCCCCUUCUUCUUCCUCUUCCUCUUCCUCUUCCCCUUCUCCUUCUUUCUCCUUCUCCUUCUUCUUUUUAAAUAUCUACUUGGAUCAGUCAACAGUGCCACCUAAAUUUUAUGGAAUAGCUGGUGAGAAGAAUUAUAUUCUUUUUCAUUACCAGUAAGAGGGCUCUGCCUUCCACCUUGUUUUGUUGUUGUUGUUACUUUAUCUGUUCUCUACCUUUUCCUACCCCCUUUCUCCAUUGCUAUUGCAUUCUCUCUGUAUUUUUGGGAUAGAGCAGGUAAACUGAGUUAAAAACAACACAAUUUGACAGGAAAGUCAUUUACAAAGGUGAACCAAUACCUUAUUCUGUUAAAAUCCAUAUAAAAUGAGGUUUCAAAAUAUAUAUUUUAUUUAUACAAACAUAGCAAUAUAUCAGUAACAUUGACAGACAAAGAGAAGAAAAAUGCGAAGACUGCUUUAUAUUUUGUUUGCUCCUCUACACUGUUAAUUGAUGAACAUAAAUCCACCAGGGAAUGUGCAAGAUGUUUAAUCUGCCAUUCCUUUUGUUGGUCUCAGUUGCUUUAUGGUGCAAGCAACUGAAAACAUUGAAUGUUUAUACUAUAAGGCCUCGAAGGCAAAUGAAAUACUUCUUUUAGGGCUCAACUGAAGAAUUAGUAAUUUUUCCCAAUUGUGGAGGAUUUCUAAAUAUUUGUCAGUAUUAAGCUAAAAUUAAUGAGUGAAAAAAUGUAUACAGUCUUUACUUCACUUUUAAUUUAUGGGAUAUGUACUUUAUUACAUCAUUUUUAAUAAUAUGAAAUAAUUUAAACACAUAGAUAAUAUACAACGUAUACGAUGUAUAAAGAGUAGUGAAAGGAACCACCCAGGUUAUGAAGAAGAAGAUCUCUAAUAUUAUCAAAGCCCCAAGAAUAGUUUUUCUCUAUUCAAUCACUUACCUUGAUCCCCAGGGUAGCAUCAAUCUGACUUUGUUGCUUCCCAUUGUCUUUUUUUAAUAGGUUUAUAUACAUAUAUGUAUAUCUCUUUAACAAUUUCUUUAAUUAUAAGUGUUUUUACUUUUACAAAAUUGGUAUCUUAUAUAUGGUUUUCAUACUUGCCUUUUUUACUCAAUAUUGGGUGUCUGAGAUUCCUCCAGGUUUUUAAUCAGUUUUCCUAAGAUAAAUAUUUUGAAGUUGUUUUCAGCUUUUCACUAUUGUAAACAAUGCUGCACUGGAUAUUCUUAUUCAUGUUUCCUGAUAGACAUAUGCAAAAGUUUCUUUAGGCAAGGGAUUAUUGGUCCAUAAGGUAUGCACCUGUGUAACUUUAUUCCAAAAUGCCAAAAUGCCUUUAAAAGAUUUUUGAUUACACUCUUGCCAUCUUUUUAUGACAGUUCUACUUCCUCCAUUCCUCGCCAAUAGUUGGUAUUGUCCAUUAUUUUAUUUUACUUUUAAAUUUUAUUUUAUAUUAUACUUUUGUCAAUGUAGUGAGUGUAAAGUAAUAUUUCAUUAUGUGUUUAGCUCAGAAGUACAACUGCCGGAUUGCAGGAUAUACUAAAUAGUUUUCCAAGGCUUCCUUUACCACCCUCUGCUCCUGUAUCUAAUUUCCGCUCUACAAUGAGGGUAAAAUUAUAUCCCAUUGUGGUUUUAAUUUGCAUCUUCAUGAUUACCAGUGAGGAGCUUUUCAUGUAUUAUUUAGCUAUUCAUGUUUCCUUUCAUGUAGAAUAACUGCUCUUGUUUUUGCCUAUAUUUAUAGAAGUUUUUGUAUGUUCUGAAUAAUCUUUUUUAGGUCAUAUGUGUGGCACAUAUUUUAUCCUAGUUUUUGUCUUCUCUUUUUAUUUGCAAUGUAUUGUCUUAUGAUAAGCAAAAGUUUAUAAUUUUAAUGCAUAGAGCUUUUAAUAUAAUUGUUUUCACAUUUUCUGAUGUGCUUAAGAAAUCCUCAAUGCUGUGGUCAUGAAGUUAUUCUCAUUUUUUUUCCUAAAAAAUUUAAGGAGUUGUUUUUCACAUUUCAGUGUUUAUUUGGAGAAUGUGUGUGUAUGUGUGAGCAGGUGUGUGGUAGGAGGCAGGAAUCCAAUUUCCCUUUUUCCAACAUGAGUCCUAGUACCCCUUGUCAAAUAUGCCCCAUUAAUGUGCAAUGACAACUCUGUCGUAUAUGAGUUGCCAUAUGUGUUUGGGUGUGUCUGAGUUCCCAAAUCAAUUCCAUUUGUCUUUUUCUUCCAUAUCCAUAAUAAUGUGCCGUUUUCAUUAUUACAACUUUAUUAUAGGUCUUAAUAUACAGAAUGGGCAAGUCACACUACUUGUUCAUCAGGAAAUCUUAACUAUUUUCCUUUUAUCUUCCAUAUGAAUAUUGGAAUGAGCUCACUAAUUUCCAUGCCAACAUUGUGACUGGAAUUACAUUGAGACUAAAGAUCAAUUUGGGAAGAAAUGCCAUCCUUAUAAUAAUAUAUCAAUAAAUCCUUAAUAUUAUUGCUGUAGUCUGAAUGUUUAUUCAUAUGUUGAAAUCCUAACCCCCAAGGUGAUAGUAUUAAGUGUUGGGGUCUUUGGGAGGUGAUUAUAUUAUAUUAUCUUUCCAUCAUGUGAAGACACAGCUAAAAAGCACCAUCCAUGAGGGAGCAGGCCCUUACCAGAUACCACAGCCACUUUGAUCUUGAACUUCCCAGCCUCCAGAAUUAUAAGAAAUAAAUGUCUGUUGUUUACUAAUUAUCUAAUUUAAGGCAUUUUGUUAUAGCAGCCUGAACAAAUUAAGAUAAUGGUCAAGUGUUUGGUCAAUGUUAACAUAAAAAUAUGUUUUAAAAUUAAAAUAUUUCCUAUUGCUGGUGUAGUGGAAUACUAUUCAGUUGUCCUAUAAAGAAAACCUGCUAAACUCUCUUUUUAAUCAUAACAAUUUUCUUCAUUUUUUCUAUGUAAAACAAUUAUAUCACAUGCAAAAUAAUUAAGGUUUUAUUAUAUCUCUUCUAAUUAUUUAGAGAUUUAACUUUUUUUUUUGUUUUACUACACAGGCUAUGACCUCCAGAAAAUAUUUAAAGAAAUAUUAAUGUGUGAUAGUAGAUAUCCAUGUUAUAAUGUAUAUGUCAGGUUAAAGAUGUUCCUUCCAUUCUCAUGUUGUUAACAGCUGUUUUAUGAAUGCAUAUUAAAUUUUGUCAGAAAUUCCGAUACAUUUAUUAAGACAAUUGUAUGUUUUAUUUCUUUAAUUUGGUGGAUUACGUUAGUAAAUUUUUUAAAUAGUAAACUUGCAUUCCUAAAAUAAGCUGGACUACUAUAAUGAAUUAUAAUUUUAGCUAUCAUGUGAUAUAUUUUGCAAAUAUUUUAUUAUUUUCACAUCCAUUUUUAAAAGUAAAUUUGGCAUGUAAUGUUCCUUUCAACUAUCACUUCUGAUUUUGAUUUGUAAUAUACAAAUCUCACAAAAUGAGAUAGCAAGCCUUCCUUCUCGAUCUACUCUCUAGAAGAGGUUGGAUAUUAUUAGAAUUUUUAAAAGACAAACUUUUCUUAUACUAAAAAUUGUCUGUACUUGAUAUUCUCAUUAUGGGAGAACUAUGAACUGCUGAUUUAAUGAUUUUAAUUUAAGAAUUUUUUAAAAUGUAUUCUUUGAAUCACAGCUCUUUCAUUGCACUCCGUGCUAGCUUACAUAAAUUUUCUAAUUUCUAGGUUUCUGGUUUCAUCAUCUGCCAUAGUACUUUUUUUUUUUCCUUGGGAAUUUCUCUUAUGAUUCUGUCACCUCAGGAUAGUAGUCCUUCAAAGUAGUUAUGUUAUAAUGUAUUCAGCAUAUAUGCGUUUUUCAGAAUAUCUAUUAACAAAUUACUCAAAAUGGAAAUGCACUAUAACACCUUAGACAUGAUUUCUUUGUAGAUAUUGAUUGCUACUCCCACAAUAUCCAAGGGGGAAAACUCUGGAAAAGUAGUUAAGAAUUAUGGCCUAAGCUGUUUCUUCCACAGACUUUCAUAAUAGAAUAGAUACUUGUUCAAAAUUGAUUGAGGUGAUACCAUUUGGCACAUUAUCUCACCAAUUAGAGAUUAGAUUAUUCAAAUCUCCUACACUCUGGUUGUUGACUGGAUUCAAGGGAAUAUGAGCACACCUUUAUAGAAACCUAGAAAAUACAAGUAUAUCAAUAAAAAAUGCAUACUAAAAGAUGAUAACAAAGUUUUUGGAUACACAUGAUUGUAGAAAUACUGGUCUCUAGAAAAUAUGAUUUCUUCAUAAACAGUGGCAAUAUUUCAAAUAGUUAAUCAUAAGUUUAAAAAUAACUCUUAAAUUGUAGUCUUCCUAAGAUUACUUUUAAAUUCUGAUGCCGUUUAAAAUUUUAUUUUAAAUUUAUCAAGUUUAAUGUACAUGCUUCUCUUGUUUAAGAAAAUGAUUUCAGGAGAUCAUAUGAGUUCAUAGUUCUACAAUUAUGUAAUUUUUAAAUUGUUUUAAAUCAGCCUUCUUUGACACAGUCUUACAGCUACAAAUGGUUUAGUCAAAGGGUUCUAUUUAUUAAUCAUUUCAAAUCAUUUAGAAUGUUAAAAUAAAUAGAUUUUAUUGAGAAUGUCAACAGUUUAUUAUACAUUUUUUCCCCACAAUAAAUGUUUCAGGAUUUAUGGUGAACCACUCUGCUAUAAUUAGGUAGUUUGCUGUAUUAAAUGAGAAAUUCUAUUAAAGAAUUAACUGCAAUAUAAUCUAAGUUUACUAAUUUCAGAGAAAUUUGCAAAAAUUGAAGGGUAUAACCUAAAAUCACACGGUAUUUAUUUGACAGAGUGUUUUACUGUGCUUUACUUUUUAAAAUAAGGGUUUCCACGGGCCAGUAGUUUUGGCAGGCAGCAUAAUGAACUGUCAUGCCUAAGACUUGAAUUUGGAAGUAACUUUGGCAUUAAUGUUCCAUUGGCCAAUGGAGAUUAGAAAUGGGAGAAUUUUGGCUUUAGUAGACAAAAUUCUGUUUAUAUCAAUGUUCAACACCUGCUACUGUAUGAGCCACAGAGCAACAGUGAUGUCAGAAUUGGAGGAAGCCAGGCAUGUAGUAUUCCUAACACCAGGUUGAAUGCCAAGAGUAUACUGUAAAUGAAUGGGGAACAAAAACAUCUAAAGAACGAUGAACUAGAAGUACACAUGGAAAAAAUCAGCACAUUUAUUAAUGCCUAUUAACAUUUUCUUAUGUGUAUUUACAAUAACAUAUGCAGAUACUCAUACUAUACCGGGUGAUAUUUCUAAUAUAGUAUUAAAAAGUCAAACAUUUCAUUAGGUUGUUAUUUGAAUUGGUAUCCAAUGUAGUAAAAUUCUGCUAAUCAUGUACUAUAUAUGUGUGAUAAAUUUAAAGAUUACAUAGGAUGAAAUUACCUUUUAAUCUCAUAAUUUUGCUUUGAAAAUAUUAAGAUUAAAACACAUGAUAAACUGUAAUAAACAUAGCAGCAAGGAAUUAAAUGGUUGAGAGGGAAAGGCAGCAUCCCGUAGCCUUCCCUUGCAACAGAGCCACUAAUGGCAUGCCAAUGAAACAAUGGUUUCUUGUUCAACUACUUCUUACCUUCUAAAAUAACAUAGUAACUACAAAUUUUAUAUUAAAUGUCUACUAUUAUGCUUAAUCAUCACAAAAAACUCUUGAUAUAACUACUAUGGUUGCCACUUUACAGAUAAGGAAAUUGAAGGCUAGAUAAUGCAAUCAAGAUGUUGAACGUCCUAGAUUAAAUAAGUCAGUUUUCUACUAUUCUACACUGAAUCUCAGAUUUCCACUAUACCGUGCUAUUUAGAAAAAGCAGCUAGUUUCCCAAUCUGAGAUGCUUUCCAAAAGCAAUAAAAAUGAUGAGUGUUAGAAAGCACUGUAUCUGGGUAAAAUAAAAGUUAGAUAGUAAGAGGUAGGUGGAAAUAAAUCUUUAUGCUCAUGAGAAAAUGAUGCUCAGGGAAAUUAAUGUAGCAAUGUAAAAAAUACAAUAGAAUGAAUUUCACAGUUUGGGAACCAUCUGAACAAAGAAGAAGAAAACAGAUUCUUUAUACAUUCUGUUUAAAAAUCAGUUCAGAAAUGGAUUAUCUGCCAGAGAACGUAAUAGUCUCUCCUCUUCUGAUCAACGAAAAUAUGGUACAUAUCUGCCUGCUCUACAAGUAAUAGAAGGCAUGCUGAUGGGCUCAGUGCCCUCUACUUAAGUCCCAGGCAAAAAGCUGAUACUCAACAAAUACUUUAAUUGAUUUGGUAUUUAUAUCAAUUUAUGUUCCACGUGACAGUAAGAUAAGCUUGAUUUAAAAACCAGAGCACACAGAAAUAUAACAAACUGUCAACACAUCUACUAUUACCUGUGCCAGAAAAAAAAUCCAGUAUUAUAACUCUACAUCUUUCACUCUUGCACACAUUUGUGCAGGAGAUAAUUUCAUCUCUGGUUAACAGUGAGUGCAUAUUUGGAUUUCAAGAGAGAAGAACACAAUAGGGUAUCUGAAAGCAGACUCACGGAAUGGACAAAUUAAUCCAAUCAGUAAGACAAUACGAGUCUUCAAACUUGGGUGGUCAAUACACAGAAACUUUUGAUAAAAAGAGUCAUUAUUUCUAUUUUUUUCAAGUAAGUGAAUAGAUAACUGAAUAAAUAAUUGGGAGAAAGUUUUUCCAUUUUGAUAAGAUUGUAAUAGAAAUGACUAGCCUUUAUCACACUUCAAAAUAAGCAUAUUUACUUUACCACACUUCAAAAUAAGCAUAUUAAACACUAACAAAGAUUCCCUUUUCUUGUCAUUAACACAAAGAUUAUUAAUCUCUUUCAGUAAUCUUAAAAAAUUAAGCGUUUUAAAAGACAGGUAGUAGUCUUACCCUUUUUAACACAUCCUGAAAAUUCAACUAUAGAAGUCUAGCACUUAGUAAAUGGUAACCACAAUCAAUGUUCAGGAAAUAUUUUUUACUAAGUAAAUAUACCUUUAAGACUAUAUUGAAAACCUAAUUUUAAGAUGUUAUAUACUUAUUUUAGUUUAUUUUCUAAUACAGCAAACUGAAUCUUGAGUUCUUCUGCAAGACUGACUAAAAUGUAAUGGUAAUUUUAUAUAAUGGGGAAGAUAUAUUUUUAAAAUAAUUUUUAGAUGUCAUCUCUCUGCGACAAUGCAAACAGGUUAAGAUUAUGCCAGAACAAUAAAUUAUAAUGAUUAUGUCAGAACAAUAUUUAAAACUAGUAAGAACUUACAUGUUAUUUUUCAGUUGUUAGCCCAGACUACCUUCCUUCCUGGGCAGACUCAUUUCAGCACCAAACACUGAAAUCAUCUCAAUUAAAUCAACUUGUCUUGACAUGUCAGGUUACAAAAAUCAUGAGACAACUAACUUUUAACCCACCCAAACUUAUGAAAUACAUCGAAAUCAAUCUGUAGAGAUGGCUGGCCUUUGGAAGUAAUGAUAGUAUGAAAACAAAAACGAAAAUUAUAAGUUCUAAAACAAUAGAGAUAAAACGUGUUUUGAAGCAUGUUACACAUUUUGGUAUUCGAAUAAGUUAUUUACGUGCUUCAUCUCUAUUGUAUACAUGAAGAAAGAAAAAAGAGGUUUCUUGCUAGACCAGAAAUAAGCUGCAUUGACAAUGGUAUAUUUCUGAUAUACAUUAUUCCUAUCAGGCCAGGACCUAGUCUACUGAACCUAAUGAAUUAUCCAUGAUACCAGAAGAGCAGACUUUCAGCAAAAGUUUGGCAGUGGGGAGUGGGUGGGUGGAGAUGGGAGUUUUGGGAAGAGGAGGAUGGAGAGUAAAAUAAUUCUAGAUUUUGGAUUCAGCAAAGGAGGGCUUAACCUCUGGUUUAAGCAUAAAAGCUAGAUGAUCUUAUACAUAUUAACACAUUCUAACCCUUGUUAGUCCAAGCUGCACCAUUUUGUAAGUCCUCAGCCAUUUUGCAGGUCCUGGCCACAGUCAAACAUUUCACAGGGGUUCGGGCUGUGAGACACAUCCUGCCCAGCCACCUGACUUCCUUAUCAUAUCCUGCUGGGCAAACAUCCCAGGAACAUCCUAUCACAGUCCGCUGGAAACAGGGCCAAACUGCCUGAUCAUAAGAACAUCUAAUCAAUAUCCUCCGGGCAGCAAGCCAAACCGCCCAGACUACUCCCACCCAGACCUAUAAUUAUCCCAGUCUGUAGGCCUCAGUGGGCUCUGACAUUUACCUGGUCCCCACCUCUGCAGGUUGCGCUUGCAAUAGACCUGUGUUGCUGUAGAGCCGCCAACUCUCUCUCUGUCUUUCUUUAACCUUCACCUUCUCUUCAAAACUUAAACCUUAGUUUCAACAUUGUAAUUGUCCACCCUCAGUUUCAACAUUGUAAUAUGUUGAACAGUAACAUUUUAUAGAGUUUCUUAGAGCAUUUAGAGUUUUUUAGAACAUAUGUAAAGUCCUUAGCAUAGUCUCUAGUACCUCCAGACAUUUACAAAUGUAACUUCCCUUCUUCUCUUUCUUUCCUAAAUGAUUUGUCCCAAGUACUGAGAAUAUUAUAAAAACUGCAUCAGAAAAUAUACUUGAACUUAGCUUCAUUUUAUGGUUGGACUUAUAAAGCUCCUAUUUGACAUCUUUCUUUUUAAUUCAAAACAGUUCAUGAUAUUUUAAUGUACAGUUCUAGACACUGGAUUCAAAUUUUUAUAUACUUUCUUGUGGGUAUAUAUCCAAAGAAAAUUAUAUCUUUAUCUCAAAGAAGUAUUCACAUGCCUAUCUUCAUUGUAUAGUUUUUCAUGAUAGUCAAGAUAUGAAAACAACCCAAGUGUCCAUCAGUGGAUGAAUGGGUAAAGAAUAUGUGGUAUCUAUAAAAUGAACUCUCUCAUUCAGCCAUCAAAAUAAAGGAAUCUUGCCAUUUGUAACAAUAUGGAUGAACCUGGAGGAUACUAUGCUAAUAUCGAAUUAGCCAGAAACAGAAAGACAAGUACUGCAUCAUCUCAAUUAUGUGAAAUGAAAAAAAAAAAAAAUCAAACUAAUAGAAUCAGAAUGUAGCAUGGUGGUUGCCGGGAGGUAGGGGUAUAUGGUGGUGGAAGAAAUGGAGAGGUAUUGAUGAAAAGGUACAAACGUUCAGUAAUAAGAUGAAUAAAUACCAGGAAUCUAAUGUACAAAUUCGUGACUAUGGUUAAUAAUAUUUUAUUAUUUACUUGAAAUUUGGUAAGAGAACAGUGUCCUUACCACACACACACACACACACACACACACACACACACACAGAGUAACUAUGGGUAGUGAUGAAUGUGUUAAUUAAUUUGAUUGUGGUAAUUAUACAAUGUCUACAUAUAUGAAAUCAUUAUGUUGCGUACCCUAAAUACAUGCAAUUUUGUCAAUUAUACUUCAAUAAAGCUGGAGGAAAAAUACCACAACAGGUUGAAUGCAGAAACACAUAUGAGAAUCUAGCAGUGUUUUAUUAAGCCAGACAGUAAAGAGAUUUGAAAAAUAUAAAACAAUGCCACUCUUCUCUCUAAAUGU